GCCGGCAAAGCGACGAGUUCACCUGGCCCUCAGCAGCGGCAGCGACGAGCUCGCCUAGCGCUCCUACCACGUCGCUGGUGCGACCUCCUUGCUAGAUCCCGGCCAUGGUGAGAUCCCUUCCCAUCCCCCUCACCCCUCCUGCCCCUUCUCGCCUCUUUGCUUUCCGCGGUUUCAUUCCCUUUGGCCUAGGGUUUCUGAUCUGAUAUGUUGUUAUUGCGCACAUGACGAUGGUGAUUUUUGGUGAUGUUGCAGGAGUGUAGCAGCCUCGGCGCAGCGACUGAGUUGCUCCUAAAUGCGCGGAGCAGUACCGCUUGGCCGGCGAAGUGGCCGGUAGCAGGAAGUCCGCCGUCGUAAAUAGUUGUAAAAAAUGGUCAUGUGUUCCUAUUCAAGAUGGAAAUGGGACCCCGAAACCCGCGUCCCCGUGGGUUUUUACCAUAUUAGGGGAUGGGGAUGGGCGACUUUCUAUUCCCACGGGGCUGCUCGUGGGUACAUUAUUAAACCCGGCAUGUUUCAUGGGUUUAAACCCGUUUGAGUACUACCCGAACCUAAAACCCGACAAAACCCGUCAAAAUACAUUAUUUAGCACGC
This 588-nucleotide long non-coding RNA is filed under the name Triticum aestivum (bread wheat). RNAcentral describes it as "long non-coding RNA (TAES_LNC025094)". The record is from RNAcentral. Lineage: Eukaryota; Viridiplantae; Streptophyta; Magnoliopsida; Poales; Poaceae.